ACGCGGCGCGGAGCCGGGAACAGCGCCCCCCUCCCCCUGCGGCGGGGGCGGGAACAGCCGCUGAGGGGAGUAGGGGGGGCGCCUUGAGGGGGUCGCUGAGGGAGGACGGGACCCCCGCGCCAAAGUUUGGGGAAACUUUCCCCUGGUUUGGGGCCGGGGCCGCGCCUCAGCCCCGCGCUCCCGCUGCGGGCAGGGAGCGCCCUCAGAGUGGCCGCGGGGCCGCCCGUGCCCCCUUUCCCUCUGCCAGCGCACCUGGGCUCUCCUCCCUCGCUCCCUCCGUGCCCGCGGCCGCGCUCCCUGCGCCCCGCAGAUAAGGCCGGGGCUCGCCCCACCCGCGGGGCACCGCGGGCUCGCCGUGCUGGAUAAGCGGAGCCGCCGCCUUCAGGGAAGUUUGCCCCGUGUUUCCUCCCCUCGCUCACAGCUCGCCCGCGGGUGUGGUGACUUCGCACAGGACCCCACAAAUCCCAGCACACGCUCUCGAGAGCCCUGCGGGGAGCUGCGGUCCCGGGCGUGCCCCCCCCUCCGGCCCUGCCCUUAUCCCGGUGACACUCGUGUCCUCCUAUUAACCCUGUGGAGAGGGGACAAAAGCUAAACUAUGAUCCUGCGCUGCUUCCCCCCCAUCCCGCUGCCGGCUGCGUGAGCUUCACAUCCUCCUGCUAAGGCUGAAAGGAACAAGAACAAGAGCUGCUGAUGGUUGAACAGGAAGAGGUGGUGGAUGCAAGGAAGCUCAGAACAGUGGGAUGGAAAACAUCUCCAGUGGGCAGGCGCCUAGGACAGAAGAUCCCAGCUCUGGUUUGCUGCUAUUUUGCUGAAGCAGCUCAGACUCUCCCUCCCUCAUGGCCAGAGUGGAAAAGCACGUUUAAAUCCCGAGCUCGCCUUUCCCACGUGGUGUCUCGCUGAGCCGCUGUCACAGCCACGCUGCACUCUCACAGGGCACCGGAGCUUCUGCCCUGCCCUGCCGGGGAGGCACAAGGAGGCAGCCUUCAUCGAGCGAGGAAAGCAAAUCUUGGCAAGAAGAGCGCCGAAGGAUGUGAACCCCUUGGAAAAUUCCACUUCCUGCCCGGCACUGCGUGUCCUUGGGUCUCUCACUCAUUCCCAUGCACUUAACGAGGGAUUUCUGCCUCAGGCUACCACACCAACUUUCUAAAUAAAUGCUGCGCACACCCGAGCGCGGUGCUCUGCAGUUAAUCUCAGCCCAGCACCAGCUCUCUCUCCUCUCUUCCUACUUCCCUCCAUUUUAUUUCUCCGCUGGUUUUUCUCUCCAGCAGGCUCCAACUCUCUCUCCUGCGGAACUUGCCGGGAACAAAAGGCUCCGUUCCCGAUCCAGCCCGCAGUUGCCGUGAGAAACUUCCUCGCCAGCGCUGUCUGUCGCUCCGCUCUCCCUCCCUCGCUCCCUCCCUGCCUCGGGAAAAUGGCAGUGCAAGAGCCUGAUAAAAAGGGGGAAAAAACCCUCCUUUCUCAGCGCCUGCCUCUCCCGCAGCACCUCCCCUCCCCAGCCGUGACGCCUGAACUCAAACUUCUCUAAAAAUACACUUUAGGAGGGUAGAUUUUCACGGGAGGGGAUUGUUUUUUACACCCCACCGAAAAGAGGAGCCGAGGUGGGGGAAAGGCCGAGGGACAGCUUUUUGCAGACAGGAGAACCUGCUCUGACCCUUCCCGCACGGCAUCGCCAGGUCCCAAGGACUAGGAACACAAUAAGUUUUCCUUCAGUGGGAAAAUCCAGGCCCAGAGUUCAGGUCUUUCUCUUUUCGCAGCUUUAAAAGCCUUUUCUUUCCCCCUUUUUUAAACUCUUCACAGUGGGGUUCACAGCAGAACGCGGUCACUCUGCCAACCCACCCGAGAGCUCCCAAAUCUGGUGGGAUUCAGGGAAAACAGACGGUUGGCUCCGGAUCCAGUGCAGGGGUUUUUGCAAACUCCAGUCCGCGUUUUGAUUUUCUUUUUUGCCCUUUUUUUUUUUUUUUUUUUUUU
Molecule: long non-coding RNA, 1968 nt
Organism: Oenanthe melanoleuca
Lineage: Eukaryota; Metazoa; Chordata; Aves; Passeriformes; Muscicapidae
Exons: 4
Source: RefSeq, a predicted model, not a curated record